GAUUAGAUACCCUAUUAUUUUAGGAUCGUAAGGUGGUUUAGUAAGGUGACAACUGAUGAAUAAGGAACAUGGCGGUCUACCGACGAGAUAGAGGACUAUUGCGUGUAAAUGAAACGGCACAUACUUCUUACCUACUUUAGAAUUAAUCACUUUGUACACCGCUAUCUGAAAUUUGGGACGAAAGAUCCUAUUAAUACUAUGGUAUCCCAUUGUGACAUUGGGCUGUAAGUUAAGUUUAGGUGCAGGUUAUAAGAAGGUUAGCGUGUGGACCACUACUAUUACUAUGGAGUACCUUUAUAUAUAGGGUGCGAAAGCGAAUUUAUAAGUAAGAAGGGGUCUCGACUCUCUGCUGAAAUCGCAACUGUGGACGUACACAUCG
This 379-nucleotide ribosomal RNA is filed under the name Lipeurus caponis. RNAcentral's name for it is "partial 12S ribosomal RNA". The record is from RNAcentral. Lineage: Eukaryota; Metazoa; Arthropoda; Insecta; Psocodea; Philopteridae.